GGAUUGGAAUGGGCGCAGCCUGAUCCAGCAAUGCCGCGUGAGUGAAGAAGGUCUUCGGAUUGUAAAGCUCUUUCGGCGGGGACGAUGAUGACGGUACCCGCAGAAGAAGCCCCGGCUAACUUCGUGCCAGCAGCCGCGGUAAUACGAAGGGGGCUAGCGUUGCUCGGAAUGACUGGGCGUAAAGGGCGCGUAGGCGGUUCGUACAGUCAGACGUGAAAUUCCCGGGCUCAACCUGGGGGCUGCGUUUGAUACGUGCGGGCUUGAGUUCGGAAGAGGGUCGUGGAAUUCCCAGUGUAGAGGUGAAAUUCGUAGAUAUUGGGAAGAACACCGGUGGCGAAGGCGGCGACCUGGUCCGAUACUGACGCUGAGGCGCGAAAGCGUGGGGAGCAAACAGGAUUAGAUACCCUGGUAGUCCACGCCGUAAACGAUGUGUGCUGGAUGUUGGGCAGUCUGACUGCUCAGUGUCGUAGCUAACGCGAUAAGCACACCGCCUGGGGAGUACGGCCGCAAGGUUGAAACUCAAAAAAAUUGACGGA
Molecule: ribosomal RNA, 536 nt
Filed under: uncultured bacterium
Lineage: Bacteria
Description: bacterial SSU rRNA
Rfam family: Bacterial small subunit ribosomal RNA
Source: RNAcentral